RNAcentral lists this ribosomal RNA (497 nucleotides) under uncultured bacterium. Its description in RNAcentral is "partial 16S ribosomal RNA". It matches the Rfam family "Bacterial small subunit ribosomal RNA", at positions 28 to 507 of the family's 1533-position model. The record is from RNAcentral.
GAUGAACGCUGGCGGCGUGCCUAAUACAUGCCAGUCGAGCGAACAGACGAGGAGCUUGCUCCUCUGACGUUAGCGGCGGACGGGUGAGUAACACGUGGAUAACCUACCUAUAAGACUGGGAUAACUUCGGGAAACCGGAGCUAAUACCGGAUAAUAUAUUGAACCGCUUGGUUCAAUAGUGAAAGACGGUUUUGCUGUCACUUAUAGAUGGAUCCGCGCCGCAUUAGCUAGUUGGUAAGGUAACGGCUUACCAAGGCAACGAUGCGUAGCCGACCUGAGAGGGUGAUCGGCCACACUGGAACUGAGACACGGUCCAGACUCCUACGGGAGGCAGCAGUAGGGAAUCUUCCGCAAUGGGCGAAAGCUUGACGGAGCAACGCCGCGUGAGUGAUGAAGGUCUUCGGAUCGUAAAACUCUGUUAUUAGGGAAGAACAAAUGUGUAAGUAACUAUGCACGUCUUGACGGUACCUAAUCAGAAAGCCACGGCUAACUACGUG